This 468-nucleotide ribosomal RNA is filed under the name uncultured Glomus. RNAcentral describes it as "SSU rRNA". It matches the Rfam family "Eukaryotic small subunit ribosomal RNA", at positions 583 to 1056 of the family's 1831-position model. Lineage: Eukaryota; Fungi; Glomeromycota; Glomeromycetes; Glomerales; Glomeraceae. The record is from RNAcentral.
UUCCAGCUCCAAUAGCGUAUAUUAAAGUUGUUGCAGUUAAAAAGCUCGUAGUUGAAUUUCGGGGUUAGUAGGCUGGUCAUGCCUCUGGUAUGUACUGGUCUCACUGAUUCCUCCUUCCUGAUGAACCGUAAUGCCAUUAAUUUGGUGUUGCGGGGAAUUUGGACUGUUACUUUGAAAAAAUUAGAGUGUUUAAAGCAGGCUAACGCUUGAAUACAUUAGCAUGGAAUAAUGAAAUAGGACGUUCGAUCCUAUUUUGUUGGUUUCUAGGAUUGACGUAAUGAUUAAUAGGGAUAGUUGGGGGCAUUAGUAUUCAAUUGUCAGAGGUGAAAUUCUUGGAUUUAUUGAAGACUAACUACUGCGAAAGCAUUUGCCAAGGAUGUUUUCAUUAAUCAAGAACGAAAGUUAGGGGAUCGAAGACGAUCAGAUACCGUCGUAGUCUUAACCAUAAACUAUGCGACUAGGGAUCGG